This 1361-nucleotide ribosomal RNA is filed under the name uncultured bacterium. RNAcentral describes it as "bacterial SSU rRNA". It matches the Rfam family "Bacterial small subunit ribosomal RNA", at positions 28 to 1381 of the family's 1533-position model. The record is from RNAcentral.
AUUGAACGCUGGCGGCAGGCCUAACACAUGCAAGUCGAACGGUAGCACAGAGAGCUUGCUCUCGGGUGACGAGUGGCGGACGGGUGAGUAAUGUCUGGGAAACUGCCCGAUGGAGGGGGAUAACUACUGGAAACGGUAGCUAAUACCGCAUAACGUCGCAAGACCAAAGAGGGGGACCUUCGGGCCUCUUGCCAUCGGAUGUGCCCAGAUGGGAUUAGCUUGUAGGUGAGGUAACGGCUCACCUAGGCGACGAUCCCUAGCUGGUCUGAGAGGAUGACCAGCCACACUGGAACUGAGACACGGUCCAGACUCCUACGGGAGGCAGCAGUGGGGAAUAUUGCACAAUGGGCGCAAGCCUGAUGCAGCCAUGCCGCGUGUAUGAAGAAGGCCUUCGGGUUGUAAAGUACUUUCAGCGGGGAGGAAGGGAGUGAGGUUAAUAACCUCAUUCAUUGACGUUACCCGCAGAAGAAGCACCGGCUAACUCCGUGCCAGCAGCCGCGGUAAUACGGAGGGUGCGAGCGUUAAUCGGAAUUACUGGGCGUAAAGCGCACGCAGGCGGUCUGUCAAGUCGGAUGUGAAAUCCCCGGGCUCAACCUGGGAACUGCAUUCGAAACUGGCAGGCUGGAGUCUUGUAGAGGGGGGUAGAAUUCCAGGUGUAGCGGUGAAAUGCGUAGAGAUCUGGAGGAAUACCGGUGGCGAAGGCGGCCCCCUGGACAAAGACUGACGCUCAGGUGCGAAAGCGUGGGGAGCAAACGGGAUUAGAUACCCUGGUAGUCCACGCUGUAAACGAUGUCGACUUGGAGGUUGUUCCCUUGAGGAGUGGCUUCCGGAGCUAACGCGUUAAGUCGACCGCCUGGGGAGUACGGCCGCAAGGUUAAAACUCAAAUGAAUUGACGGGGGCCCGCACAAGCGGUGGAGCAUGUGGUUUAAUUCGAUGCAACGCGAAGAACCUUACCUACUCUUGACAUCCAGAGAACUUAGCAGAGAUGCUUUGGUGCCUUCGGGAACUCUGAGACAGGUGCUGCAUGGCUGUCGUCAGCUCGUGUUGUGAAAUGUUGGGUUAAGUCCCGCAACGAGCGCAACCCUUAUCCUUUGUUGCCAGCGAUUCGGUCGGGAACUCAAAGGAGACUGCCAGUGAUAAACUGGGGGAAGGUGGGGAUGACGUCAAGUCAUCAUGGCCCUUACGAGUAGGGCUACACACGUGCUACAAUGGCAUAUACAAAGAGAAGCGACCUCGCGAGAGCAAGCGGACCUCAUAAAGUAUGUCGUAGUCCGGAUUGGAGUCUGCAACUCGACUCCAUGAAGUCGGAAUCGCUAGUAAUCGUGGAUCAGAAUGCCACGGUGAAUACGUUCCCGGGCCU